Molecule: ribosomal RNA, 918 nt
Filed under: Neophryxe psychidis
Lineage: Eukaryota; Metazoa; Arthropoda; Insecta; Diptera; Tachinidae
Description: partial 16S rRNA
Source: RNAcentral
UAGAAUUAUUUUUAAUAAUAUAUUAGAAAUGAAAUGUUAUUCGUUUUUAAAUAUAUCUAGUUCUUUAAGAAAUAAAUUUAAUUUAUAAAUUUUAUAUUAUUUAAUUAAAUAUAUUAAUUAAAUAAUUAUUUUAUUUUAAUAUUUUAUGGGAUAAGCUAUAAAAUAAAUUUUUAAAAAUUUUAUUAAAUAAAUUUAUAAAUAUAAGCUUAUAAAUAGUUAUUAUUAAUAAAAAUGUUAUAAUUUAUUUAUAAUAUAAUAUAAUUUAAUUUUUUUUAAAUUUUUAUUAAAGUUUUUAUUAUAAUUUAAAAAAUAAAUUAAUAAUGAUUAAAUUAGUAUAUUAUUUUAUUGUAAUGAUAUAUUUAGAUGAUAAUUUUAUAUAAAGAAUUAGGCAAAAUUAAUAUUCGCCUGUUUAACAAAAACAUGUCUUUUUGAUUUAAUUUUUAAAAAGUCUAGCCUGCCCACUGAUUUUUUUAAAUGGCCGCAGUAUUUUGACUGUGCAAAGGUAGCAUAAUCAUUAGUCUUUUAAUUGAAGGCUGGAAUGAAUGGUUGGACGAAAUAUUAACUGUUUCAUGUAAAUUUUUAUUAGAAUUUUAUUUUUUAGUUAAAAAGCUAAAAUUUAUUUAAAAGACAAGAAGACCCUAUAAAUCUUUAUAUUUAAGUAAUUAUUAUUUUUUAGAUUAUUUUUAUUAUAAUUAUUAAUAAUAUUUUAUUGGGGUGAUAUUAAAAUUUAAUAAACUUUUAAUUAAUUUAUUUCAUUAAUUUAUGAAUAAAUGAUCCAUUAUUAUUGAUUAAAAAAUUAAGUUACUUUAGGGAUAACAGCGUAAUUUUUUUGAAGAGUUCAUAUCGAUAAAAAAGAUUGCGACCUCGAUGUUGGAUUAAGAUAUAAUUUAGGUGUAGUAGCUUAAUUGAUAAGUCUGU